CAGUAGCCGCGGUAAUACGUAGGUGGCGAGCGUUGUCCGGAAUUAUUGGGCGUAAAGGGCUCGCAGGCGGUUUCUUAAGUCUGAUGUGAAAGCCCCCGGCUCAACCGGGGAGGGUCAUUGGAAACUGGGAAACUUGAGUGCAGAAGAGGAGAGUGGAAUUCCACGUGUAGCGGUGAAAUGCGUAGAGAUGUGGAGGAACACCAGUGGCGAAGGCGACUCUCUGGUCUGUAACUGACGCUGAGGAGCGAAAGCGUGGGGAGCGAACAGGAUUAGAUACCCCGGUAGUCCCUGUCUCUUAUAC
Molecule: ribosomal RNA, 301 nt
Filed under: uncultured bacterium
Lineage: Bacteria
Description: partial 16S ribosomal RNA
Rfam family: Bacterial small subunit ribosomal RNA
Source: RNAcentral